UACGUUUACGGGACAUGAAUGGGACAGUUGGGUUUAGAAAAAUAAAAACGGGACAGUUGGGUUUAGGUAAAGAAGGAGGGUACAGUUGGCUUUAGGGAAAGGAGGAGGGGACAGUUGGGUUCAGGUAAAGACGGACGGGACAGUUUGGUUUAGGGAAAGAAGAACGGGAAGGUUGGGUUUAAGGAAAGGAGGAGGGACAGUUGGGUUUAAGUAAAGAAGAACGGGACAGUUGGGUUUAGGGAAAGGAAGAGGGGAAAGUUGGGUUUAAGUAAAGAAGAACGGGACAUUGGGUUUAAGUAAAGAAGAACGGGACAGUUGGGUUAAGUAUAGAAGAACGGGACAGUUGGGUUUAAGUAUAGAAGAACGGGACAGUCGGGUUUAGGGAAAGGAAGAGGGGAAAGUUGGGUUUAAGUAAUGAAGAAAUGGACAGUUGGGUUUAGGAAAAG
Etheostoma spectabile (orangethroat darter) is the source of this 446-nucleotide long non-coding RNA. RefSeq lists it as uncharacterized. NCBI's taxonomy places the organism in Eukaryota, Metazoa, Chordata, Actinopteri, Perciformes, Percidae. The record is from RefSeq and is a predicted model, not a curated record. The transcript is spliced from 2 exons.